Apis florea (little honeybee) is the source of this 644-nucleotide long non-coding RNA. Lineage: Eukaryota; Metazoa; Arthropoda; Insecta; Hymenoptera; Apidae. The record is from RefSeq and is a predicted model, not a curated record.
AAACGUUCAAACGUCGAAAAUAACAGUCUCUCGUUCGAAGAAGAAAAAAAAAGAAAAAAGAAUUUCCAGAACCAUAAAAACGAAGGACUGUUGAAGGUAUUUCCGAACCAACGAAUCCUUUCUUCCCUUUUAUUUCAUUGACCAAAGCGAAUCGGGUCCAGGGGGGUUCACGAAUCGCCGGUUUUGCGCAGGGCUGUUCCCUAGGACAAUGAGAAGUUGCUCUCUUCCUACGGUUGGCUCAUCUUCCUUUUGAAAACCGGCCUUCAACCACUCGGACGCUUCUUCUUAUUCUUCUUAUUCCUCCUCCUCCUCCUUCUCUUCUUCUCCUCCUUUGGUCCAGAUGCUGGGAUCACGAAAUCAGUGAAGUGUUCGCGUCGAGAGCCGGGCCCCGGCGUGGCGCCCAAACGAGUUUUAAAUUGCAUCGGCCGGCCAUUUGAAUGCGAAAACACGCGAGGAUGCAAAACGGGCCGCCUAAACGCACCACCUGAUCGCCCACUUCGGCCUAAGAAGUUUCUCUUUCCCCUCUGUUUUUUAAGCCCAAGGCUGCUUUUAGCCAGAUACCUUCGAUUCGUACCACGGCUCGAUAUUCGGGGACGCGUAACAGGCUGUUGAUUAGAAUACGAAGAAUUAGAGGUCGAUUGGAG